RNAcentral lists this ribosomal RNA (460 nucleotides) under uncultured bacterium. RNAcentral describes it as "partial 16S ribosomal RNA". It matches the Rfam family "Bacterial small subunit ribosomal RNA", at positions 338 to 795 of the family's 1533-position model. The record is from RNAcentral.
CCUACGGGUGGCAGCAGUGAGGAAUAUUGGUCAAUGGGCGCGAGCCUGAACCAGCCGAGUCGCGUGAGGGAUGAAGGUUCUAUGGAUCGUAAACCUCUUUUAUAAGGGAAUAAAGUGUGGGACGUGUCCUAUUUUGUAUCUACCUUAUGCAUAAGGAUCGGCUAACUCCGUGCCAGCAGCCGCGGUAAUACGGAGGAUCCGGGCGUUAUCCGGAUUUAUUGGGUUUAAAGGGUGCGUAGGCGGCCUUUUAAGUCAGCGGUGAAAUGCUGUGGCUCAACCAGAGAAUUGCCGUUGAAACUGGGGGGCUUGAGUAUGUGUGAGGCAGGCGGAAUGCGUGGUGUAGCGGUGAAAUGCGUAGAUAUCAGGCAGAACCCCGAUUGCGAAGGCGGCCUGCCAGGCCAUGACUGACGCUGAUGCACGAAAGCGUGGGGAUCAAACAGGAUUAGAUACCCGAGUAGUC